Molecule: RNA transcript, 1444 nt
Organism: Sitodiplosis mosellana (orange wheat blossom midge)
Lineage: Eukaryota; Metazoa; Arthropoda; Insecta; Diptera; Cecidomyiidae
Exons: 3
Source: RefSeq, a predicted model, not a curated record
GUAUUUUACCGAUUCUCGUUUUUCCCUGUGUGACAACUAACUACAAGUUUCUUCUAAAAAAAGGAAUCCCACUUGUAUUCAAGCAAAAAAUCAUAUCAAUUUAACACAUUUUUAAUAAAUAAACGUGAAUAAUUGCAUAAAUUUUAAAAAUUCUCAGGCGAAUGUUUACAUUGAGUCAUUAAACGUCAUCAAAUACAUUGUUCAUAUCUAUAUCGCUUCCAAAUCGCUUUUUUAGAUUUUAAAUAGAAAUAUGUCUGGCAAUAACACAUUAAUAGCGAAUUCUAAAAUUGGGGAAAAAUUCGGAAAGAGUUGCAAAGAACGUUACAUUGAAAUCGAAAUAGUAUGUGAAAGAGAUUUUCAAUCUCCUAAACAAUUCAUCGCUAUGUUAACAGAUUGCCUGAUUCAUUGGCAAACGCAAUCAAUCAACCAUAUUCAGUUCAAAGUGCCAAUAACAAUGGAGAAAGGUGCGCACAUUUUAACCAUUCUGUAUCAAAAUGGGUUCGGGUUUUUAAAAUUUGACGAUGGUUGUUGCGUUGUUUUCAAAAACCUUGAAAAUGAUGCGGUCGUCCGAGUUGUUCAACAGCAGUUCAACGAAUUUCGAAUUGGGAAUUAAAUAAUAUGAACAUUCACAGGAUGAUAGUGGCGGCUCUAGUUCAAUCAAUGAAUCGAUGACACGAUCUCCGCAGCCAUCACACACAUCAGAAGCAAAUGAUUCGGCUUUUGAUGUCAAUCAAGCAGGCCCUUCCAACCAGGCCUUUGGCUCUGUUUCAAUCAAUACACCGGUCGCACGAUCUCCGCUCUUAUCGCACUCGUCAGAAUCAAAUGAUUCCGAAAAUACAGGUAUAUUAACACAAGCAUCACCGCAUUUGCAAACACCCAGCCCAGGUGAACCAUCAGAACCAUCACCUAUUUCAUCAUCAGACUUCCAUUUGAAUGAAAACAGUAACAGCCGUGAACCUGUUUUCAGUCACUCUGACUAAGUUCUGUGUGAUAGAAGUUGUCAUUAAAAGACAGGUGAAUUGUAGUCGAUGGUUGAUUAAAGACUGACGAUUUUAUUCAUGCACUUAAAGACUAUAUACAAUAAAUUGCUUAGCUGACUUAUUUAAAUUCUCCGAAUUCUAUUCAGGUUAUUGUUGCACUUAUAACUAAAUAAUAAUUAUUUCUUGCUUAUGAUUCAUUAUUUCGUGCGAUUUCAUUAUUGUUCGAUUCCAGUUAAUUCAAAAUUAUGUCAAUAGACACACUCAGAUGAUUCCAAUCAACAAGUUCCCCAUAUAGAUUGAUUAAUUGAAUACAAUACAAGCUAUAAACUUGCUGCAAACAACUAAUUUCAUUGUAUGUUCAUUACGUAAACCAAAAAGUAAAAUUAUUAAACGUUUAUUUCGAAUAUAUACAUUGUCAUUUAAAAGGCAGAUUUAACACAAUUAAAUCUUCUUUUUUGGGAAAA